This 253-nucleotide ribosomal RNA is filed under the name uncultured bacterium. RNAcentral describes it as "partial 16S ribosomal RNA". It matches the Rfam family "Bacterial small subunit ribosomal RNA", at positions 524 to 776 of the family's 1533-position model. The record is from RNAcentral.
UACGAGUGCCCCAAGCGUUAUCCGGAAUUAUUGGGCGUAAAGGGUGUGUAGGUGGUCUUGUUAGUCUUCUGUGAAAUUCUUCGGCUUAACCGGGGGUCCGCAGGGGAAACGGCAGGACUAGAGGAUGCGAGAGGUGUACGGAACUCAUGGUGUAGGGGUGAAAUCCGUUGAUAUCAUGGGGAACACCAAAAGCGAAGGCAGUACACUGGCGCACUCCUGACACUGAAACACGAAAGCGUGGGUAGCGAAUGGG